GAUGAGAUUUCCCAUUUCUUUAAGAAAGUAAGAUCCCUGAGAGAUGAUCAGGUAGAUAGGUCAGGAGUGGAAGUACAGUGAUGUAUGGAGCGGACUGAUACUAAUCGAUCGAGGACUUAACCAAUU
This 126-nucleotide ribosomal RNA is filed under the name Enterococcus faecium. RNAcentral describes it as "partial 23S ribosomal RNA". It matches the Rfam family "Bacterial large subunit ribosomal RNA", at positions 2803 to 2925 of the family's 2925-position model. Lineage: Bacteria; Bacillati; Bacillota; Bacilli; Lactobacillales; Enterococcaceae. The record is from RNAcentral.